Molecule: ribosomal RNA, 509 nt
Filed under: uncultured bacterium
Lineage: Bacteria
Description: bacterial SSU rRNA
Rfam family: Bacterial small subunit ribosomal RNA
Source: RNAcentral
CUACGUGCCAGCAGCCGCGGUAAUACGUAGGGGGCAAGCGUUAUCCGGAAUAACUGGGCGUAAAGGGUGCGCAGGUGGUUUAACAAGUUAGUGGUGAAAGGCAUAGGCUCAACCAAUGUAAGCCAUUAAAACUGUUUAACUUGAGUGCAGGAGAGGAAAGUGGAAUUCCUAGUGUAGCGGUGAAAUGCGUAGAUAUUAGGAGGAAUACCAGUGGCGAAGGCGACUUUCUGGACUGCAACUGACACUGAGGCACGAAAGCGUGGGGAGCAAACAGGAUUAGAUACCCUGGUAGUCCUGGCCGUAAACGAUGGGUACUAGGUGUAGGAGGUAUCGACCCCUUCUGUGCCGGAGUUAACGCAAUAAGUACCCCGCCUGGGGAGUACGACCGCAAGGUUGAAACUCAAAGGAAUUGACGGGGGCCCGCACAAGCGGUGGAGUAUGUGGUUUAAUUCGACGCAACGCGAAGAACCUUACCAGGUCUUGACAUUGAUGGACAGAACUAGAGAUAG